UACAGGGGGGGCAAGCGUUGUUCGGAAUUACUGGGCGUAAAGGGUCUGUAGGUGGCUUGCUAAGUCAGACGUGAAAUCCCUCAGCUUAACUGGGGAACUGCGUCUGAGACUGAUUGGCUCGAGGACAGGAGAGGAACGCGGAAUUCCAGGUGUAGCGGUGAAAUGCGUAGAUAUCUGGAGGAACACCGGUGGCGAAGGCGGCGUUCUGGACUGUUUCUGACACUGAAUAACGAAAGCCAGGGGAGCAAACGGG
This 253-nucleotide ribosomal RNA is filed under the name uncultured bacterium. RNAcentral describes it as "partial 16S ribosomal RNA". It matches the Rfam family "Bacterial small subunit ribosomal RNA", at positions 524 to 776 of the family's 1533-position model. The record is from RNAcentral.